Molecule: ribosomal RNA, 274 nt
Filed under: uncultured bacterium
Lineage: Bacteria
Description: partial 16S ribosomal RNA
Rfam family: Bacterial small subunit ribosomal RNA
Source: RNAcentral
AUACGAAGGGUGCGAGCGUUAAUCGGAAUUACUGGGCGUAAAGCGCGCGUAGGCGGUUGGAUAAGUCGGAUGUGAAAGCCCCGGGCUCAACCUGGGAAUUGCAUUCGAAACUGUCCGGCUAGAGUGUGGUAGAGGGAAGCGGAAUUCCACAUGUAGCGGUGAAAUGCGUAGAUAUGUGGAGGAACACCAGUGGCGAAGGCGGCUUCCUGGACCAAUACUGACGCUGAGGUGCGAAAGCGUGGGGAGCAAACAGGAUUAGAAACCCUAGUAGUCC